AUACGUAGGGGGCAAGACGUUGUCCGGAUUUACUGGGUGCAAAGGGCGCGCAGGCGGGAUAGCAAGUCAGAGGUGAAAUCCUACAGCUUAACUGUAGAACUGCCUUUGAUACUGUUAUUCUUGAGUUCGGGAGAGAGAGACGGAAUUCCAGGUGUAGUGGUGAAAUACGUAGAUAUCUGGAAGAACACCAGUUGCGAAGGCGGUCUCUUGGUCCGGUACUGACGCUGUGGCGCGAAAGCGUGGGGAGC
Molecule: ribosomal RNA, 248 nt
Filed under: uncultured bacterium
Lineage: Bacteria
Description: partial 16S ribosomal RNA
Rfam family: Bacterial small subunit ribosomal RNA
Source: RNAcentral